Molecule: ribosomal RNA, 460 nt
Filed under: uncultured bacterium
Lineage: Bacteria
Description: bacterial SSU rRNA
Rfam family: Bacterial small subunit ribosomal RNA
Source: RNAcentral
GAGCGAGAAAAGGGCUUCGGCCCUGAGUAAAGCGGCGGACGGGUGAGUAACACGUAGGUAAUCUUCCCUUGAGCGGGGGACAACGUUCCGAAAGGGACGCUAAUACCGCAUAAGUUCUUCGAGACUCCGGUCUUGGAGAGGAAAGCUAGGUAGCAAUAUCCGGCACUCGAGGAGGAGCCUACGUCGCAUCAGCUAGUUGGUGGGGUAACGGCCUACCAAGGCGAAGACGCGUAGCUGGUCUGAGAGGAUGAUCAGCCACACUGGGACUGAGACACGGCCCAGACUCCUACGGGAGGCAGCAGUGGGGAAUAUUGGACAAUGGGCGCAAGCCUGAUCCAGCCACGCCGCGUGAGUGAUGAAGGCCUUCGGGUCGUANAGCUCUGUGGGGAGGGACGAACCGCUGCGAAUUAUACCUCGCAGCAUGACGGUACCCUCCUUAGCAGCACCGGCUAACUUCGUG